GUUAUCUCCCAAGCUUGCACAGCUAGCUCAUGUAUCUGAAGAAGAAAACUUCUCCAACAGUGGCUCUUUGUCUUGCAUCAGAACCUUUUAAAGGAUUUGUUUAAAAGGGACUGAAGAGCACCGCCUACAAAAUUACCCAUUCAGCUACAGGCAACAUUCUUUUGGACAAAGCUGCAGAACCAGCAUGACUAAGCACCAGCAAAAGGUCAGAGCUAAAGGAACAGAUCCAGUAUGGAGUCAGAAUAAAGGAAACCUCAUUUUAAAUGGAGUUAAGGGGCCAGAAUAGGGAGCCCUCUGCACUACCACUUGUCAUCAAUUACAAAUCCCAACAGGAACCG
Long non-coding RNA from Dama dama (fallow deer), 338 nucleotides. RefSeq lists it as uncharacterized. The transcript is spliced from 3 exons. NCBI's taxonomy places the organism in Eukaryota, Metazoa, Chordata, Mammalia, Artiodactyla, Cervidae. The record is from RefSeq and is a predicted model, not a curated record.